RNAcentral lists this ribosomal RNA (904 nucleotides) under uncultured bacterium. RNAcentral describes it as "bacterial SSU rRNA". It matches the Rfam family "Bacterial small subunit ribosomal RNA", at positions 20 to 916 of the family's 1533-position model. The record is from RNAcentral.
UGGCUCAGAUUGAACGCUGGCGGCAGGCCUAACACAUGCAAGUCGGGCGGUAACACGGGGAGCUUGCUCCUGGGUGACGAGCGGCGGACGGGUGAGUAAUGUCUGGGAAACUGCCUGAUGGAGGGGGAUAACUACUGGAAACGGUAGCUAAUACCGCAUAAUGUCGCAAGACCAAAGAGGGGGACCUUCGGGCCUCUUGCCAUCAGAUGUGCCCAGAUGGGAUUAGCUAGUAGGUGGGGUAACGGCUCACCUAGGCGACGAUCCCUAGCUGGUCUGAGAGGAUGACCAGCCACACUGGAACUGAGACACGGUCCAGACUCCUACGGGAGGCAGCAGUGGGGUAUAUUGCACAAUGGGCGCAAGCCUGAUGCAGCCAUGCCGCGUGUAUGAAGAAGGCCUUCGGGUUGUAAACUGCUUUUGUACGGAACGAAAAAGUUCUCUCUAAUACAGGGGGCGAAUGACGGUACCGUAAGAAUAAGCACCGGCUAACUACGUGCCAGCAGCCGCGGUAAUACGUAGGGUGCGAGCGUUAAUCGGAAUUACUGGGCGUAAAGCGUGCGCAGGCGGUUAUAUAAGACAGAUGUGAAAUCCCCGGGCUCAACCUGGGAACUGCAUUAGUGACUGUAUAGCUAGAGUGCGGCAGAGGGGGAUGGAAUUCCGCGUGUAGCAGUGAAAUGCGUAGAUAUGCGGAGGAACACCGAUGGCGAAGGCAAUCCCCUGGGCCUGCACUGACGCUCAUGCACGAAAGCGUGGGGAGCAAACAGGAUUAGAUACCCUGGUAGUCCACGCCCUAAACGAUGUCAACUGGUUGUUGGGUCUUCACUGACUCAGUAACGAAGCUAACGCGUGAAGUUGACCGCCUGGGGAGUACGGCCGCAAGGUUAAAACUCAAAGGAAUUGACGG